CUGGGGCUCUUACCAUGCAAGUUGAACGUGAAGCCUAGUACCUAGUAUUGGGCGGAAAGUGGCGAACGGGUGAGUAACACGUUGGUGACCUGUCCCGAGGAGGGGGAUAACCGUGGGAAACCACGGCUAAUACCCCAGAUGUCUGGAUUGUUAGAGGAUCUAGACUAAAGCUCCGGCGCCUUGGGAGGGACCUGCGGGCUAUCAGCUUGUUGGUGGGGUAAAGGCCUACCAAGGCUAAGACGGCUAGGGGGCGUGAGAGCGCGACCCCCCACAAUGGAACUGAGACACGGUCCAUACUCCUACGGGAGGCAGCAGUGAGGAAUAUUGCGCAAUGGGGGCAACCCUGACGCAGCAACGCCGCGUGGAUGAUGAAGGCCUUCGGGUUGUAAAAUCCUUUUCUGAGGGACGAUAAUGACGGUACCUCAGGAAUAAGUCCCGGCUAACUACGUGCCAGCAGCCGCGGUAAAACGUAGGGGGCGAGCGUUAUCCGGAUUUAUUGGGCGUAAAGCGCACGUAGGCGGCGCUGUAAGUUGGACGUGAAAGCUCCCGGCUCAACUGGGAGAGGUCGUUCAAUACUGCGGUGCUUGAGGUUGGAAGAGGAGAGUGGAAUUCCCGGUGUAGUGGUGGAAUGCGUAGAUAUCGGGAGGAACACCAGUGGCGAAGGCGGCUCUCUGGUCCACACCUGACGCUGAGGUGCGAAAGCGUGGGGAGCGAACGGGAUUAGAUACCCCGGUAGUCCACGCUGUAAACGAUGGAUACUAGGGUGUAGGAGGUUAUUUACCCCUUCUGUGCCGUAGCUAACGCGUUAAGUAUCCCGCCU
Molecule: ribosomal RNA, 820 nt
Filed under: uncultured Dehalococcoides sp.
Lineage: Bacteria; Bacillati; Chloroflexota; Dehalococcoidia; Dehalococcoidales; Dehalococcoidaceae
Description: bacterial SSU rRNA
Rfam family: Bacterial small subunit ribosomal RNA
Source: RNAcentral